Procambarus clarkii (red swamp crayfish) is the source of this 4017-nucleotide RNA transcript. It is a transcript of the gene named asparagine synthetase domain-containing protein 1, with no coding region annotated. NCBI's taxonomy places the organism in Eukaryota, Metazoa, Arthropoda, Malacostraca, Decapoda, Cambaridae. The record is from RefSeq and is a predicted model, not a curated record.
GCGGGACAGGAAUGGUUGGGCACAUUUCCUAUCACCUAAUGCAUCUGUUCACCUAGUAAUGUUUUCUGCACUGCACAGUACUGUACUGAAGAAUUUAUAAAAGGAUCGCCUAGCAGUUUAUUAUAGUGUACUGCUUACUGUACUAAGAAUGUGUGGCAUUUGCUUCAUUUGUGGCUUGUCAGUAUCACCACACGAGUUGGAGGAAAAGAUACUUCCAAGUUACUCUUUUCUUAGUCAUCGAGGCCCUGAUGCUUGUGGAAGGGAGAUUUUAUCCAUUAAUGAUGAGGUGACAGGAUUGUUCGAAGGCUGUGUUUUGUGGCUUCAGGGACAUGAGCCAACACCACAACCACUUGUAGAUCAGUAUGGAAAUAUCUUGCUGUGGAAUGGUGAUAUUUUUGCAGGCUUUGAGAUUCCAGGGGAUCUUAGCGACACAAAAUAUAUAUCUGACUAUUUGGCUACAAAAAACGAGGAGGAAAUUUCAUCCUUCCUGGGGACUAUAAAAGGUCCUUGGUCACUUAUUUAUUACCAGAAAGAAACAAAAAAGUUAUUUUUUGGGAGAGAUGUCUUUGGCAGACAUAGUUUGGUUUGGAAACUGCCUUCUGCAACUUCAUCAGUGUUCCAGAUAACAUCUGUCUGUCAGCAAAAUGAAUAUGUAAAGGAAAUUCCAGCUUUUGGACUUUAUUUUGUUGAUUUUUCUGAAACUAAUUUAAAAAAAGGAUUUACAGUUAAUUUAAUUCCUUGGUCACAUGUGGCUGAAGAAAGUCUUUUGUCUCUGGACUCUGUGAUAAAUGUCAAAAAGCACACAAUAGUUUCAAGUGUGCAAACUUCUCUGAAUAUGUGUAUUCCUUCAGAUAUUGUCAUAGAGCAAUUCAAGUCUUUACCAAGUUCAUUAGAUAAGGAAAAUACAGAGAGAUUAUAUUUAGCUCUUACAGAUAAUAUUGAAAACCUGAUAAAAGUAUUAACAACCUCUGUCAGGAGAAGAGUCGAGAAAAGUCCACCAAAAUGCCGCAGUUGUACAAACUCUCCAAUAACGUGUAACCAUUCAAGAAUUGCAGUGCUGUUUUCGGGAGGUUUGGAUUCUGCAAUGCUUGCUCUUCUCUUAGAUUCUUGUUUGUCAGAAUCGGAAAGUAUUGAUCUAUUGAAUGUGGCAUUUCUACAGAAACCUCUAAAUAACAAAGUUAAUAAAAAAAAUAAAAAAAAUGAAGAUAAUUUACUUAAGAACUAUGAAGUCCCAGACAGAAUUUCUGGGAGACAGUGCUGGCUCCAAUUACAAGAGUUGAGACCUUCUAGAAAAUGGAAUUUUGUGGAGAUAAAUGUGACGGGUGAGGAGCUGGCACAGAAGAGAGAGUCGGACAUUCGUCACUUGGUUGCCCCAUUAGCAUCAGUUCUGGAUGACAGUAUUGGAUGUGCACUUUGGUUUGGUGGUCGUGGCCAUGGGUUCCUCAGGGGAGCGCCUUACACCUCACCAGCUCGAGUUCUCUUGUGUGGAAUGGGGGCUGAUGAACAGUUAGGGGGAUAUUCUCGUCAUCGUGGAUGCUUCGCAGCCGGGGGCUGGUCGGCCCUGUUAGAAGAAAUCAGCAUGGAGAUCUCUCGGAUACAUACUAGAAAUCUGGGCCGAGACAAUAGGAUCUUGACUGAUCAUGGACGUGCUCCAAGAGCCAGAUCGAACGUGCCAGGUAUUUGUGAUCAUCCCAUGACCUAUCGGGAGCAGAAGAAGCUGAGGGAGUCGGAAGAUACCACAUACCGAGGGGAACCCCUGCCAAAAUGGCUGAAAAGGGGGGUCGUAAAAACUCAAAAUGUGCUUAGAAAAAGAGAUAUGUUGAAUACAAAUUCAUUCCAAACAAAACUCUAAACUAUCUCGAUACCACUUCACCACCACCACCUCCUGCCACCAGAUGGUACCGCUAGUCAAGCAGAGGCCAGUUGAGCCCACCACCACCAUCACACUCAUGCCUGAACUACUCCUCUGGAACCUAUGAUUGUGCAGGGGAAUAAUGGAUAAAGGGGAACCACUGAGUGGCCACCAGAAAGAGAUGUUUCAUUAUACUCUCUUCUAUUUCUGGGGUGGCACCCUCGGUGACUUCCCAGAGCUUAUAUUCCCCACUGUGCCUCACGUGAAUAAUCUACAGAAUAACAUCAUAAGACAGAAACUUGAUAUGGGAAACCAUGCAUAAUUAAGAGAAAAGGAAGCUUGCCUAAAAAUGUCGAUCCCCCUGGAUGUCGGACCCAGAUAAACAUUAAGAACAACUCGAGCGAAUUAUGUUCCCCAAAGGUCCACAGUUGCACUGAGGUUGAGGUGUAGCCAGGAAGGCACCAGACAUCUAACUGAGCAUUGUGAAACCAUGAGUAUGAAUAAUGGCUGUCAACAUGUUGUUAAAGAAUGUUGCCAGUGCUGCAAACAUAUAGAGGUUAGGAUGAUGAUGAAGGAAAGAAGUUGAUCAUAAGGAUCACCCUGCUAAAAAUCACUGAAAAACAAGUGAAGGAGCAGGGAAGAAGAAAUCAAAAGUUAAAGAAUAGAGCUACUCCACGAGCAACUAGAGUCACCAGUGGAAGCGGUAAAAACCAAAGAGCUUUGUCGAAAACAAGCAAUCAUUUGUGGCAAGGAAUGAACCAGAAUCACCAGACCAAAAAAUGAAGAGAAGCAUAGAUUGCCUAACCCAUAAGACUGCUUAACACAAGAUGAAACCAGAUAGCUAAUGUUGAAGGCAUGACUUUAAACAAGUGAGAGGAUAAGCAUGCAAGAAUUCAGACAAAAAAAAUUAUGGCUCUGGAGGAAUAUUAAAGCCCUAACAUAGUACUGUAAGUAGAGCUGAUGAAAAGAUCACAAUAAUGGCAAUGAAGAGAAACACAGCCUAGGCCAAAUGAGAGGUUGAAACCCUAUAUGGCAUAAGACAAUUGACAGAGUGGUAGAUGCUAAUCUCAAAGGAAGGUGAAGCCACAGAGAAAGAACCUGAUGGGGUCAAUAUGCAAGACUAGCUAAGAAGAACAUAAUGAAUCGGCUACAGUGUAGACAAAAUAAACCUGAAAAGCCUGAAAGAGGACAAUGCACAGAAACCCCAUGCAAAAGGCAUCCACCUUGACUCCAUGUCGGGGCAAACAGAUCCACCUGCAGCCUUGCAAAACCACAGAAAAGAAUUCCUGCUUAACACCCCCUCUGACAUAAAUAGAUGGAAAUUGAAGAGCUCAACAAGGAGAAUUGAGGGCACAAAGUGAACCAACAGCUAUUUACUGCUGCACUCAGCUACAUGCCUAUCACAAGCAGAGAGAACCAUAUACUCCUAUACAGGUAGGCAACAACUGAAGACCAAGCUUCAGUCCCAAACAGAAGUACCAAAACACAGCUUAAACAAUGGAGAGGACUACAAAAGAAUCUGUCUUUCAAUCCUAAAAUAACCCUGACCCAGUCUGACACUGGACCAGCAUCAGCUUAGACUUCCAACACUCACCCAGAGGCUUUGUGUGGUAUCACUGGAUGAUCUAAAACCUCUGCCAGAUACACACAAACUGAGAGCUUAAACUAAUCGGACAUUGAGAAGAACCUCCUAAGGAAACCUGGUGGAAGACUGGAAGCAAAGCUGGGGUCAAAAAGCAAGUGCCAAAUGGAGACAUUGAGGUGAACUUCCAACUCCAGCCAACCCAAGGACUGAAAUUGGCUCAGAAUAAGCUAAGAGAUACAUUGCAUAACCAGGGAAACGAGCCAAGAACAAACCAAAAUCAAGAAAACCUGGGAUGUAACUGAUAAACAGGACAAUUCUCAAGAAGGAAGGAGUGAAAAUAGUAUUUCUUGAUUGAAUCCCAACCAAGAAACUGCCAGCUAAGAGGAAGCCUGGAUCACAACCACAAAGGCAGAACGCAGAAAAUGAGAAUGAACUCUGAACCAAAUCAGUGCAUUUUGCCACCUUUGUGACAGUCUGCCCUCUCUUGCAGGUUUCCAUACUUAGAUGAAGAUGUUGUAUCUCUUCUCAACUCGCUCCCAGUCUGGAUAAAGGCUAACCUAUAUUUGCCACGUGGAAUAGG